This 420-nucleotide ribosomal RNA is filed under the name uncultured bacterium. RNAcentral's name for it is "bacterial SSU rRNA". It matches the Rfam family "Bacterial small subunit ribosomal RNA", at positions 359 to 776 of the family's 1533-position model. The record is from RNAcentral.
GAAUAUUGCGCAAUGGGGGAAACCCUGACGCAGCGACGCCGCGUGGAGGAUGAAGCCCUUCGGGGUGUAAACUCCUUUCGACGGGGACGAAUGAGCGGUUGUUGAAACCGCCUUGACGGUACCCGUAUAAGAAGCCCAGGCUAACUACGUGCCAGCAGCCGCGGUAAUACGUAGGGGGCAAGCGUUGCUCGGAAUUACUGGGCGUAAAGGGUUCGUAGGCGGUUGGGCAAGUCGGCGGUGAAAUCUCUCGGCUUAACCGAGAGGGGUCCGCCGAAACUACCUGACUCGAGGGCCGGAGAGGGGAGUGGAAUACCUGGUGUAGCGGUGAAAUGCGUAGAGAUCAGGUGGAACACCGGAGGCGAAGGCGGCUCCCUGGACGGUACCUGACGCUGAGGAACGAAAGCUGGGGGAGCAAACAGG